GAAUAUGCAACAUUUCAACAGCACAUUUAAGGCUGUUAGAGUAACAGCUUUUCAAAAUGUAGGCAGAUCAUAAUUCCUUCCCCCAAACUGUUUUCAUGUUGACUCAUGCAACCAGAUUUUGUCAAGGGAAAAAAUAACUUGGAAGGAGAGAUUCCUUUUGGAGACUGUCUGAGGUGUCAGAGACAGACAGAUCAUGUAAGUGUGAGACCAUCUGGUGGUGAGGGGCCACCAGCCAAGACACUACAUUCUGAAACAGAGACCCUCUCUGGCCUCCAGAUUCUUUAAACUCUCAGCCACCAAGGGCCACAUGGGGUUUGUUACAGCAAGUUUUAAAGCUUUCUGGCAUUUCAAUACAGUUUUAGCAGUUGGCUCCUAAAAAUAAACAAACAAACAAACAAGUCAAAUCCUGGGUGUGUAUAGACCCACUGUACAGGCAGAAACUCAAAUGGCUUACCUUCUCUUGGGUGUAGCCUUGGAACCACCGAGAUGUACUUUCUAACUAAAUGCUGCACACACUAGGACCACCCAGAGUUACAAAGUGCUCUUGGACAGGGCCCUGCUCCCCUUAGCCUAAAGUGGAAAGAUGCUGGUGCCUUGACCUCAGGUGUUCUAGGCUAAAACACUGCACCACUGACCCUCGACUCUUGUAAGAGACCUGUCUUCAGUUACCCUUAAUUCUUUGCUAAAGCUUCAAACUAUAAUCACAAACAUUUUUUUGAAGGGUAUCACCAAAAUUAGGCCACGGCAGCCAUUUUUAAAGCUCAGGACCAUGGAUACUUCGACGGUAUUUGGUAAAAGUAAAAUAGGCUGGGCGAUCAGAAGGAUAGGAGCUGCUUCAGUCUGCUGUAACCUAACCCUCCAUCCGUUGUGCCAGCAGCCCACAGUUCGACACCGUGGCUUCCUCCUGUGGGAACUAUCCAAAAGAUUUCACCUAACGAGACUCUCACUAUGUCAAAAUUAAUUUUUUUCAGUUGUACUUUUUCUUUCCCCUCUACAAGAUGAAAGAUUAUAAAGUGAAAUUUUAUAAACAUCAACCAAAGCAAAGGCACUUUCUAGGACACUGACUUCAUAAAGAUGUUAGAAAUGAGGAAAUUUGAUGUCAGGUGAGAGUUUAUACUUGUUAUGUAUGGUUACUAAUGCAGCGGGUGUAGCUGACUGAAGUUUGAUAUAGUUGUAUUCUCACAUUUAUAGUGAUAUUAAAAAUACAGUCACCUCUGACUUCUAUGCCAGGGAAGGCUUUUUUAAAUUUUAGGUUAUUAAAAUCCAUAUUGGUUAAAAGUCACAGUUCCCACUGAAUAAUAUUUUUAAUUCACAGAAGGGUUUGUUCCCAGGUGUGCUCCAUUCUGCAUCACAAGAGUUUAGUCGAAGACAUUUUCUAAAUUAAAAUAAUUGUUUGUAAUUAGAGAUCUUGCACUGUCUAGAGAUAUAAUAUUGACCAAUCAUAUGCAUGCAGAGAUGAUAUUUCUACCCUUUAGAAAGUUGUCACGAGGGCUUAUUUUCAGGAAUCUGCCAUUUUCUUUUCCCUGUGGAUAGAGAUCACGAUUUUGGGAGACUGUUGAUAAUUUCAGGAAGCUACUUCAUUUGAAUCAGAACUGACAUCGUGUCAAUCCCCAUUAUUUCCGGCUCACAGCUUGGACUUCUGGCUGCCUUCUAAAAGUUGUUUAAUGAUAAACUGUAAUGUGACUCCAUCCCUGAGACUACAUGUGGGCAUGGAGGCCUGGGAGUUGAUGAAGACUAAGACAGGACUUCCCUUCCCAGGAUGCUAUCUAUCGGGAAGGGAGUGCCAAGUGCCCGUCCCUGGGACCCAGUAGAUCAGAGUACUCCUGCAGAGUAGCGAUGACCUCACAGCUCAGAACCCUUAAACAUGCAGACAGCCAUGCUGUGUAGAAGAUGACGCAUCCCUGACAGCUGUUUUAAAGCUUUAUUGCAAGAGUUGUAAUCUUCUGGCCUGGAGACCCUGCCAAACACACUACUGUGCGAUGAGACACAGCCCUGGAGGGAGCGGGCAUCUGAAAUCCAGACCAGAUGCCCUGGGAGCCAGGUGAAGGCCUAAGCUGCAUGAAACUCUAAGGCUCCUGCCCUGAGUAGGGGGUGGGAAGGCUGUGUAAGCCAUGCUAAGCUCUCCAUUUUCAAACUCUGACAGCCAAUUCCAGAUUCCAGAAAGCGCUCGAGGCUACCCGAGGCCCUGUUCUCACUCUGAAGUAACACGUGAUAGAGCUCCUGUGUAUAAGGCAAUGCCGAGAUCAAAUGGAACUAAGUGCUUGUGAAAGCCAAGACCCCUGAAGAGGACCCCAGGUAUACACCUCAGGACUGCUUUGACUAAUGAAUGAGGUGGCCGUGCCGGGACUCCCCUCACCAAGUGGAUUCCCUGGCCUCUGGCAAUACAGAAUGUCUACAUGGUCUUUUUAAAAGGUGAUUUUUAACACACUGUCAGGACUGGAUAACUUACAAGUUAAUAAAAUGAAUUUGUAUCUUGUGUGCGCCUUAUUUAUUCUCCACCAUGUUUCUGGAUGAUAUCCCUGUGGUGUGAAAGGUACCAUAGUCAUUGCUAUUUUACACGGCAAGAGCAAGACACACAAAAGAGGCCAGCAAGGCCAGGGUCUGUCCGGAACUGACCAAAUCUCCCAUUUGCUCCUACGCACUAACAUAUCUACACUUCAGAUUCCCAGAAGCACUGUGCAGACACAGAUCCUUCGCCAUCUUCAAAUCUCUGCUUCUCCAUAUCUGCUGUCCCCAAGGAUGGUGCCCCUUAGAACAGUGGUUCUCAACCUGUGGGCCACGACCCAUGUGGGAGCUGAAUGACCCUUUCACAGGGGGCCACCCAAGACCAUCAUAAAAGACAUAUUAUGGUUCACAACAGUGACACAGUUCUAGCUAC
Molecule: long non-coding RNA, 2878 nt
Filed under: Rattus norvegicus (Norway rat)
Lineage: Eukaryota; Metazoa; Chordata; Mammalia; Rodentia; Muridae
Description: long non-coding RNA NONRATT021978
Source: RNAcentral